AGGCCGUCUCAUAACCACAGGGUUUCUGUGGACUUUCAGUGGUGUUUGCUGGGGCAUUGGCCCUUAUUAACCUUGGCAGUCAGAGCUGAUAUUCCAAACAUUCAUUAAAAUAUUCCACGUGGGCACAAGCGAUUUCCAAUCAACACUAAGACACGCCCUUGAAGAAGAGUGUUUGAGUGCGGUUCACCAGGCCAGGACAAGUGAACCUUCUUCAGUUAGGAGACACCUGCUGUGCCAGAGCCAAAAUAAAUGCCAAGUGUGUCACCUUCUGCUCCAAGUACCCACAAUGCAAAGUCGAUGUGAGUUCUUUCCUCGAUGUCAUCAUACAUUCCACUAAAUUGCUUUCACGCGUAAAUCUGGCACAGGAAGCUGGAGAUCGAGAUUAGAAUGAGGAAACGCAGACGGCCUUUCUCUGCAACUAGUGCAUUUCAUGUGGUCUUCUGAAAAUUACUUACCCUUUCUCAUCUUGACAUAUCUACUAUUUCGUCACUGCAAUUUUUAAAAAAGGAAAAAAUCUUCUAUGUCUUUCCUCCAUGUGACGUUUAAGGACAGAUGAGAGUCUGUGGAAACCAGAG
This 575-nucleotide long non-coding RNA is filed under the name Pan troglodytes (chimpanzee). RNAcentral's name for it is "lncRNA (ENSPTRG00000053273.1)". The record is from RNAcentral. Lineage: Eukaryota; Metazoa; Chordata; Mammalia; Primates; Hominidae.